AGAGUUUGAUCCUGGCUCAGAAUCAACGCUGGCGGCGCGCUUAACACAUGCAAGUCGCACGAGAAAGUGGAGCAAUCCAUGAGUACAGUGGCGUACGGGUGAGUAACACGUGGGUAAUCUACCUCUUAGUGGGGAAUAACCCUGGGAAACCGGGGCUAAUACCGCAUAAGCCUGAGAAGGGAAAGCAGCAAUGCGCUGAGAGAGGAGCCCGCGGCCGAUUAGCUAGUUGGCAGGGUAAGAGCCUACCAAGGCAGAGAUCGGUAGCCGGCCUGAGAGGGCACACGGCCACACUGGCACUGAAACACGGGCCAGACUCCUACGGGAGGCAGCAGUGGGGAAUCUUGCACAAUGGGGGAAACCCUGAUGCAGCGACGCCGCGUGAGCGAUGAAGCCCUUCGGGGUGUAAAGCUCUUUCGGCAGGGAAGAUGAUGACGGUACCUGCAGAAGCAGCUGCGGCUAACUACGUGCCAGCAGCCGCGGUAAUACGUAGGCAGCGAGCGUUGUUCGGAGUUACUGGGCGUAAAGGGUGUGUAGGCGGUUCUUUAAGUUUGGUGUGAAAUCUCCCGGCUUAACCGGGAGGGUGCGCCGAAUACUGAGGGACUUGGAGUGCGGGAGAGGAAAGUGGAAUUCCUGGUGUAGCGGUGAAAUGCGUAGAUAUCAGGAGGAACACCGGUGGUGUAGACGGCUUUCUGGACCGUAACUGACGCUGAGACACGAAAGCGUGGGUAGCAAACAGGAUUAGAUACCCUAGUAGUCC
This 757-nucleotide ribosomal RNA is filed under the name uncultured bacterium. RNAcentral's name for it is "bacterial SSU rRNA". It matches the Rfam family "Bacterial small subunit ribosomal RNA", at positions 8 to 796 of the family's 1533-position model. The record is from RNAcentral.